AUAUUAUUAAGUGGAGGAAAAGAAACCAAAAGGGAUUCCCCCAGUAGCGGCGAGCGAAAAGGGACCGGCCCAAAGCCGAAUCCCCCGCCCCUUUUCGGGCGACGGGAAAUGUGGCGUAUGGCGGCGGGAUUUUUCCGCGCGUAGAGGACGGCCCAAGUCCCCAUGAGCGGGGCCGCGACCGGAGCGGGUGAGAGUCCCGUACGGUCGUUCUCUUCGCGCCGAGGCGCCCGCCGCCGGGAGUCGGGUUGCUUGAAAGUGCAACCCAAAGUGGGUGGUAUGCUCCACCUAAGGCUGAAUAUUCCCGAGAGACCGAUAGCAAAAAAGUACCGUGAGGGAAAGUUGAAAAGAACUUUGAAGAGAGAGUUCAACAGUACGUGAAACCGCUUAGAGGUAAACGGGUGGGCCUUCGAAGUCCGAGCGUUACCCAAGUCGAGUCUGUUUCGACGGACGAGACUUUCGCAGUAGGCAGCCGCGACCGGUUGGCCGAGGGUCGUAGGGACAGGCGGAGCGGGCCCCCAGGGGCCUCUCCGCGGGAACAGCCGACCCCCGAGACCGACCGUCCACGCCCCGCCGCCCGCUUCGGUGGGAGGAGGGGUUGUUCCGCGGCCAGUAGAUCGGGUCCCACCCGACCCGUCUUG
RNAcentral lists this ribosomal RNA (638 nucleotides) under Tyrannochthonius sp. 3530. RNAcentral's name for it is "partial large subunit ribosomal RNA". It matches the Rfam family "Eukaryotic large subunit ribosomal RNA", at positions 40 to 656 of the family's 3401-position model. Lineage: Eukaryota; Metazoa; Arthropoda; Arachnida; Pseudoscorpiones; Chthoniidae. The record is from RNAcentral.